RNAcentral lists this long non-coding RNA (619 nucleotides) under Mus musculus (house mouse). Its description in RNAcentral is "predicted gene, 26953". Lineage: Eukaryota; Metazoa; Chordata; Mammalia; Rodentia; Muridae. The record is from RNAcentral.
CCCCGAGGCCCGCCCUCAGCGUGUCUUAUUCCAUUUUGAAGUCCCUGCCAUGCGGCAACACCUCGGUCACCUCACCACGGGCAUCAAGGGAAGUAGAAGGGUCCCGUUCCGCCAGCAGGGAGCGGCAGAGUUGAGCUGCUGCCCUUGAAAAUGAACAUCUCUUCCAUCACCAACUCCCGGGUCUCUGGCUGCUCCCACCACUGGCCUCCUCUACAAAGAAAGAACUGCAAGGAACCUAGCCUGAGUCCUAAAGCAAAGUUUGGACUCCCCUAAGCCCCACCCCUCCAGCUUCUCUUUCCUCCCAGGCGACAAUAGGACACCUGAGCGCACUUCUAAAGCCUAAUGCUGUCUCCCAGCAUUCUAUAUGUUUGCACUCAGUCAAGCCAUACCUUUCUCAUCCUCCAACGUCCCAGUGGGGGUCAGCCUGACUAGGAAGUCACUUCCUCCCUCGUGCCAGAGCUGGCCUCUCUUGACUGCCUAUUGUCUAAUUCUUCCUGGACACAGCUUCUCUCUGAUGACUACAAAGUUGUAAAUGUCUGAGGUGUGGUUGCAUAGCACCUGUAUUUCCCAAGAUGGCUACACAAAUAAAAGAACCAUGGUGGGAUCCAUGGUCUAGCAG